RNAcentral lists this transfer RNA (87 nucleotides) under Acetispira formosa (nom. nud.). RNAcentral's name for it is "Deltaproteobacteria bacterium Smac51 tRNA-Leu". It matches the Rfam family "tRNA". Rfam says of the family: Transfer RNA (tRNA) molecules are approximately 80 nucleotides in length. Their secondary structure includes four short double-helical elements and three loops (D, anti-codon, and T loops). The record is from RNAcentral. Lineage: Bacteria; Deltaproteobacteria; Acetispirales (nom. nud.).
GCCCGGAUGGUGGAAUUGGUAGACACAAGGGACUUAAAAUCCCUCGGUGGAAACACUGUGCCGGUUCGACCCCGGCUCCGGGCACCA